Molecule: ribosomal RNA, 476 nt
Filed under: uncultured organism
Description: partial 16S ribosomal RNA
Rfam family: Bacterial small subunit ribosomal RNA
Source: RNAcentral
ACGUACACUCCUGCGGGAGGCAGCAGUGGGGAAUUUUAGACAAUGGGCGAAAGCCUGAUCCAGCCAUGCCGCGUGCAGGAUGAAGGCCUUCGGGUUGUAAACUGCUUUUGUACGGAACGAAACGGCCUUUUCUAAUAAAGAGGGCUAAUGACGGUACCGUAAGAAUAAGCACCGGCUAACUACGUGCCAGCAGCCGCGGUAAUACGUAGGGUGCAAGCGUUAAUCGGAAUUACUGGGCGUAAAGCGUGCGCAGGCGGUUAUGUAAGACAGUUGUGAAAUCCCCGGGCUCAACCUGGGAACUGCAUCUGUGACUGCAUAGCUAGAGUACGGUAGAGGGGGAUGGAAUUCCGCGUGUAGCAGUGAAAUGCGUAGAUAUGCGGAGGAACACCGAUGGCGAAGGCAAUCCCCUGGACCUGUACUGACGCUCAUGCACGAAAGCGUGGGGAGCAAACAGGAUUAGAAACCCUGGUAGUCCC